UUCGUGUGAACAGUGGUUGAUCACGAGUUAGUCGGUCCUAAGUUCAAGGCGAAAGCCGAAAAUUUUCAAGUAAAAACAAAAAUCAAAAAUAUUUGCCAAUCAUCGAUUUUUUUUUACACUUGAAUAAUUUUGAACGAAAGGGAAUACGGUUCCAAUUCCGUAACCUGUUGAGUAUCCGUUUGUUAUUAAAUAUGGGCCUCGUGCUCAUCCUGGCAACAGGAACGACCAUAAAGAAGCCGUCGAGAGAUAUCGGAAGAGUUUUCUUUUCUGUUUUAUAGCCGUACUACCAUGGAAGUCUUUCGCAGAGAGAUAUGGUAGAUGGGCUAGAAGAGCAUGACAUAUACUGUUGUGUCGAUAUUUUCUCCUCGGACCUUGAAAAUUUAUGGUGGGGAUACGCAAACUUCUCAACAGGCCGUACCAAUAUCCGCAGCUGGUCUCCAAGGUGAAGAGUCUCUAGUCGAUAGAAUA
RNAcentral lists this ribosomal RNA (468 nucleotides) under Dichaetophora sp. JF8 (Gao). RNAcentral's name for it is "partial 28S ribosomal RNA". It matches the Rfam family "Eukaryotic large subunit ribosomal RNA", at positions 1508 to 1897 of the family's 3401-position model. Lineage: Eukaryota; Metazoa; Arthropoda; Insecta; Diptera; Drosophilidae. The record is from RNAcentral.